UUAAAAAGAAAAUUCCGUAACAACAUAGUCAAACCAACUUCAGUUACAUAAUCCCAAAACCGAUAGUACAAGUCACAAGCCUUUCUAAGAGUAACUAUAAAUAAAGAGUAAGUCAUUUUUCCGGAAUAAUAGGAGACAAUGGAAAUAAAAUACAACACAAGGUGACUUCGGGCCCUGCGGACGUCGAACAAGUAUACCUUGAAGUCUCCAGCAGUGCAGAUAUAAAUCUUCAACCAAUUCAAUCAUAAGUACCUGGAUCUGCACCAAAAUGUGCAGAAGCAUAGCAUGAGUAUACCACAUCGGUACCCAGUGAGUAUCAAACCUAACAUCUGUAGAGUAGUGACGAGGCCAGGUCAAGACACCUACCGGACAUGAAAAGUUAUGCAGGAUAUGACAUAAAACUAAUAAGGAAAGAAUAUCAAUAUAAGGCCAACAAUAGAAAGAUUUCAAAUCACCAUCAACAUUGAAAAUAAGGUGAGCACGGAUGACAAUGAGAAUAUCCAAGUAACUAAGCAACAACAUAGUCAGGUACAAAUAAAAUAUAAAUGUGUUCAAGUAAGGUAAACCAAUGACAACUUAGUCAAUUAAAUCAUUCCAAAUGCACAAAUUUCAAUAAGAAUUACCUCGAGUAUCACAUCUUGUAAAUCUCAGAUUAUAAAUCACAACUUCCAAACCUCACACACAUGUCAACUUGUGCCUAUAUUUUUCAAAUCACUUUCGCACGAUAAAAUCCACGUGCUACCAUGUACCUUGUACCCGUAUCAAAUACUACUUUUAAAUAUCCAGGAAAUUUAAUCUCAUUCAUUAAAGCAUAAAAACAAACAGGUAUAAAGUAGGAAAUCAAUUGAGAAGAAUGAGUUUAUUUUAGAAAUCAUUUGGAUCAAGAAAAUAAUAUUUUCAAUUAAAAUAAAGCACCGGAUAACCACUGGAUUAAAUUUAGAGUUUGUUAAAUAAAAACAUAAUAAUGAUCCAUAUGUAAAUAAAAUCAUCAGAUAGGAUGAGGAGUUUAAUUUGGAAAAUUAAUUAAAGUGAAAUGCGUCAACUGUUAAGAAUAGUAAAGUACGUUAAAAAUUCUUUAACUUAAAAACCAAUGUGUUACCAAUAAUUCAAUCCUCGAAAUCAAUAAAUCCAAAAAUAUCCGUCCUCAGAAUUUUAUAUAAUAAAUACUGGAAGCUUACACAAUACAACAGUGAAUACAACAUACACAAUCCAUUGCGGCGCACAACCCGAUCCAAAAUAUAAAGUUUAAACAAAUCUGUUGCAGUGCGCAACCCGACCCCUCCAUAUAAUCACCGAUCCCUCCAUAUAAUUAUCUGUCAAUAUUAUAAUCCAUCCUUAUUCCACCAUUCCAUCAUUUUCAUUAUUGUUGCGGCGUGCAACCCAAUCUUACAUAUAUUAUCAUUUUCAUUACUGUUGCGGCGUGCAACCCGAUCCCAUACAGAUCAUCAUUUUCAUUAUUGUUGCGGCGUACAACCUGAUCCCACAUAUAUUAUCAUUUUCAAUACUGUUGCGGCGUGCAACCCGCUCACCAAGUAACAUAAUUUAAGCAAAUAAUUUACAACCAACUACGGCGUAUCACAAAAUCAAAAGGAAUAACAAGGCUACACAAAGAAGUCACAACUGAUGAGAAAGUUAUACGAUAACUCACGAAAUCAUUAGCAAGGAAUGACAAUCCAUAAAUCAAGACACAAUUUCUGAGAAUCAAUUAACAGUUAAGGCAUGUAGCAGAUAACACAUGAAUUCAACAAAUAAUUAAAAUCAUCAAUUAACAAAUAAGGAUGAACUUCACCAUGAAAGAUGGAACAUGUACUAAUAACUUCAAGUAAAGCACGUAAGGGCAAUCCUAACGACAAAAAAUAUAACAUGAAACGAUAAGUACAAUUAAUUGUAUGAAAGAAGCCUAACGGUCUUAUCCGGUCACAUACCACAUAUAAGUAAGUGUACACACUCGUCAUCUUGUGUACACGCUUUUCGCAUAAUUCAAACAAUAUCAUCAAUUCAAAGCCUAAGGGGUAGUUUUCCCAACACAAAGUUAGGCAAGAUACUUACCUUUACGAAGUUAGGCCGAUACUCUAAAUUGGCCUUCUCGCGUGAAACGGCCUCAGGAUAGCUCAAAUCUAACCAAAAUAAUUUCAUAAAAUAAAUAAAAUUCAUAGGAAAUAAUUCCGGAUAAUAAACGUCGACUUUUAAUUUUACACUAAAAAGUCAACCCGGGGCUCGCAUCUUGGAAUCCGAUAAAUUUUUACGAAAUUCGAACACCCACUCCGAUACGAGUUCAACCGUAUCAAAACUAUCAAAUUCCGAUAUCAAAUCACCCUUCAAAUCUUCAUUAUACAUUUUUGAAAGAUUUUCCAAAAUUUUGUUUUCUUCCAUCCGAUUCACAAAUUUAAUGACAUAAAUACGUAUAAAGUCAUGAAAUACAAUCCCUUUCAGUUAAGGAACACUUACCAAAAUUAAACUCGUGAAGAAUCCCUCCAGAAUCGCCCAAAAUCGAGGUUUAAAACUCCAAAAAUGAGUAAAUAUGGCAACCUCUAAUCCUUAAAUGUUUCUGCCCAGUUUUUGUACAUGCGGACAAUUAGCCGCUUCUGCGGCGUCGCUUAUGCCACACAAUUGUCGUUGAUGCGAAACAAUUGUCGCUUCUGCGGAAUCCACUGCCCAGUUGAGUUCUCGCACAUGUAGAAAGAAUUUCGCUUAUGCGCAAUCACAGGUGCGACCAGAAAUUGUGCUUCUACGCUUGCUUCGUUUUUGCAUCCCCAGGCACCGCAUCCAUGAUCACGCAGGUGCAGAAAAUACUUCCCACCUGCGACCACUGUCCAACCCUUCCAUUUUCACUUCUGCGAUCACUGUCUCUCCUAUGCGGUCUCGCACCUGCGGCCAAAUCCAUCGCAGGCGUGAUGGCACCAGUCCAGAAUUCCUCAUAAUUUUCCUAAGUCCAAAAUUUAAUUUGUUAACCAUCUGGAAUCCACUCGAGGCCCCCGGGACCUUAAACCAAAUGUACCAACACGUCCUAAAACACAACACGAAUUUAUUCGAGGCUUCGAAUCACAUCAAACAACGUCAAAAUUAUGAAUUGCACCUCGAAUGGAACUUAUGAAUUUUCAAAUCUUCCAACUUCUAUAAUUUGCGCCAAAACAUAUCAAAUCAAUCCAGAAUGACUUCAAAUUUUGUGCAUAAGUCAUAAAUGACAUAAUAGAGCUAGUCAAAUUUCUGGAAUAGAAAUCCGAGCCUGAUAUCAAUAAAGUCAACUCCUGAUCAAACUUAUGAAUAUUUCAAAACUCCAACUUUCUGAUAUUUUUUGACAAAAUACUUCAAAUUAUUCUACAGACAUCCAAAUUCAAAUCGGGACACACGUCUAAGUUCAUAAUCACCAUACGAAGUUAUUGGAACCACUAAAACUCCAUUUCGGAGUCAUUUACACAAAAGUCAAACUCUGUUCAACUCUUUUCACUUAAACUUUUAAAACAAGAAUUGUUCAUCAAAAUUGAUCUCAAAUCAUCCGAAAAUCAAACUCGACCACACACGCAAGUCAUAAUACAUUAUACAAAGCUGCUUGAGGUCUUAAGCCACCGAACGAAAUGCAAAUUUCUAAAACUACCGGUUCGGUCGUUACAUUCUCCCCCACUUAAACAUACGUUCGUCCUCGAACGUGCCACGUGUCGUUCCAAUGCCGUCGAAUCACUGUGUAACCUUACCAUGCACAUACCCAGGGGUGAUCUCACGUAACCCUAACUCAUGUAAGCCUGACCACACGAUAUAACUGAUGAUCAUUAUUUUGACUUUAGCCCAUAAACCUUGGAACCAAGUUCCCAACAUCCGAAAUUCCUUACAACACUCGAAAUUUCCUCCUAUGAAAAGCUUCUCAGUAUGCGGUAUGCCAUCCACAACCUCAUCCAAGUCAUCCCAGAAGCGUCUUUUAACCUCCUCGUCCAAGCCCAAUUGGGGUGCGUACCCACUAAUCAUGUUUAAAGUAAAAAAUCCAACGACUAGCUUAAUGCUCAUCAGCCUGUCACUCACCCUCCUAACCUCCACCACUAGCUCUUGAAAGUCCCUAUCAACCAAAAUGCCUACUCCGUUCUUGCCCCUCACGUGUUCAGAGUACCAUAGUUUAAACCCGUCUACAUCCCUUGCAUUAUCUCCUUUCCAUCCAGUCUCCUAGAGACAAGCUAUAUUGAUCUUUCUCUUAUGGAGAAUCUUUGUUAACUCUAUAUUGACUUCCUCAUCAAGGUCACUAUGUUUCAGGACCCAACUCUCAGCCUGAAUGCACCCUUACCACCCCUACCCCCAUGAGGACCCUCCCGAAAACAUGACCUUACCCUACCAUUGUUCAAUAUAGCCAUUAUAAUCAAGACACACUAAGACUUCGAGAAUACAGUACGAAACUAUAAAGCACAAAAAUAGGGAAAAUCACAGGUACUAAGAACGAUAAUAGCUGCAAGAUAAGUAAAAAUAAGAACCCUAAACGAUGCUAAUAGGCCCAAAAGCAAAUACAAGUGGUCUAAGCAAUACGAAUGAAUGAACAAACAAAUGAUCUAAACAAAUAAACCACGGAUAAAGCACAAUAAUUGAUAGAGAAUACCCUAAGAGCAAAGAACAAAUUUAAACAAAAUCUAACGAAACAGAGUUUAACCAAACAAGAAUGUAGAACCUGGUUAAAGAUCUGCCCGGAGUUGCUGGGUGACGACUUAAGAGGCUUGAAGACAUGUCUGAUGGUUCCCACAUGCCGGCAACUAAUCCAGAUCUCGUCGGAAUUGAGCUGCCUUGUUUCACACCUGAAAAAGAGAAAGAAGCGCCAAUAAUGAAAAGUCCUAUUGAUUUUUUUCAAUUUAGACAGCUUACAUGCUUUUCACGUGCUAAUUUGCGCCACUUAUGUGCUUCCUAUGCAAAUUAUGUAAAAUAUAACGGUUAUGUGUUUAAACAAAAUAGAAACCAAAGUGUUCA
RNAcentral lists this long non-coding RNA (4938 nucleotides) under Nicotiana tabacum (common tobacco). RNAcentral describes it as "long non-coding RNA (NTAB_LNC017435)". Lineage: Eukaryota; Viridiplantae; Streptophyta; Magnoliopsida; Solanales; Solanaceae. The record is from RNAcentral.